UACCUGAAUGGGCCUCAUAACAUUUUCCUCUGGCCCACGUCUGAAAGGAUUUUCUGGAUUUUGAUUGGUCUUCAGGAUGGCUUUUUGUUGGUGUGGACCGCAGGUUAACUGAUAGUAUCCUUUCUGUCUUUAGCUUGAGAGCUUAAGUGCUACAUUUAGUGAGGUGCAAACGGGUAAUUUGAAGAAAUUACAGCCUCACAACCUGGGAACAUUUCUGUGGAUGUUUGUCUCAUGAAAGCAGCCACAGAGAGGAGAAACUAUCUCUAACAGGGAACAUCAUGGCCUGGUGAACAGGCCUGUUGCUUCAGGGUGAGGGUUCAUCUUCAGGUCCAGCUGCAAGGAAUUCUGCAUCAGUGAAGGCUGCUGAGGAAGACUACAUUCUGCUUUAAGGCUGGUCCUGAAAUCUGAAGCAGAACAUGUGGAACCAUGAAGCAGAUGGGCCACAGCAGCAGAAGACCACAACGGAUACCUGAGACUACAUUCAUACUGGCUAACAAAACUAACACAUUGGCAAAAUUCUGCCUGCUGUGAUGAGUCUUGGUUUCAGCCAUCAGGAUGAUAAUGUCACAAAGCUCAAAUCUUCCCAACCGGGCUUCUCUUGACCAUGACCAUGACUUCGCUGUACCCCAAUGGCCUCCACAGUCAUCGGAUCUUAAUCCAGUACAGCACCUUCAGGAUGUGCUGGCCAGGAGAUUCACAUCAUAGAUGUUCAGAACCACAAAUCUGCAGAAACUAUGUGAUGCGAUCAGGUCAAUAUGGAUCAAAACCUCUAAGGAAUGUUUCUGACACCUUGUUGAAUCGAUACCUGCAAGAAAUAAGAUAGUUCUAAAUACAAAAAUACCCAAUAAAAUGGCUGCAAAUGGUACAGUUAGCUAAUUUUAUAUUAAUAGACUGUAAUUUACCAAUGUAUCAUGUUUUUCAGCCUUAUGUAAAACUAUAUUAUUUAAUUUUAUUUUUGCUUCCUUAUAG
Molecule: long non-coding RNA, 969 nt
Organism: Girardinichthys multiradiatus
Lineage: Eukaryota; Metazoa; Chordata; Actinopteri; Cyprinodontiformes; Goodeidae
Exons: 3
Source: RefSeq, a predicted model, not a curated record